Molecule: transfer RNA, 87 nt
Filed under: Acidimicrobiaceae bacterium
Lineage: Bacteria; Bacillati; Actinomycetota; Acidimicrobiia; Acidimicrobiales; Acidimicrobiaceae
Description: tRNA-Ser
Rfam family: tRNA
About the family: Transfer RNA (tRNA) molecules are approximately 80 nucleotides in length.
Source: RNAcentral
GGAGGGAUGCGAGAGCGGACGAAUCGGCACGCCUGGAGAGCGUGUGUGGGCCUGCGCCCACCGUGGGUUCGAAUCCCACUCCCUCCG